CCUACGGGAGGCAGCAGUGAGGAAUAUUGGUCAAUGGACGGAAGUCUGAACCAGCCAUGCCGCGUGCAGGAUGACGGCUCUAUGAGUUGUAAACUGCUUUUGUAUGGGGGUAAACUGUACUACGUGUAUGCAGUUGAAAGUACCCUACGAAUAAGGAUCGGCUAACUCCGUGCCAGCAGCCGCGGUAAUACGGAGGAGCCAAGCGUUAUCCGGAUUUAUUGGGUUUAAAGGGAGCGUAGGUGGAUUGUUAAGUUAGAGGUGAAAGGUGGGGGCUCAACCUGAAAAUUGCCGUUGAAACUGUUAGUCUUGAGUACAGUAGAGGUAGGCGGAAUUCGUGGUGUAGCGGUGAAAUGCUUAGAGAUCAUGAAGAACUCCGAUGGCGAAGGCAGCUUACUGGACUGUAACUGACACUGAGGCACGAAAGCGUGGGGAGCAAACAGGAUUAGAUACCCCUGUAGUC
RNAcentral lists this ribosomal RNA (460 nucleotides) under uncultured bacterium. RNAcentral's name for it is "partial 16S ribosomal RNA". It matches the Rfam family "Bacterial small subunit ribosomal RNA", at positions 338 to 795 of the family's 1533-position model. The record is from RNAcentral.